This 253-nucleotide ribosomal RNA is filed under the name uncultured bacterium. RNAcentral's name for it is "partial 16S ribosomal RNA". It matches the Rfam family "Bacterial small subunit ribosomal RNA", at positions 524 to 776 of the family's 1533-position model. The record is from RNAcentral.
UACGGAGGGGGCGAGCGUUAUUCGGAAUUAUUGGGCGUAAAGGGCGCGUAGGCGGCCCGGUAAGUCAAGGGUGAAAUCCCUCGGCUCAACUGAGGAACUGCCUUUGAAACUGUCGGGCUUGAGGCCGGGAGGGGGUAGCGGAAUUCCCAGUGUAGCGGUGAAAUGCGUAGAUAUUGGGAGGAACACCAGUGGCGAAGGCGGCUACCUGGACCGGUUCUGACGCUGAGGCGCGAAAGCGUGGGUAGCAAACAGG